This 482-nucleotide ribosomal RNA is filed under the name uncultured bacterium. Its description in RNAcentral is "partial 16S ribosomal RNA". It matches the Rfam family "Bacterial small subunit ribosomal RNA", at positions 28 to 507 of the family's 1533-position model. The record is from RNAcentral.
GACGAACGCUGGCGGCGUGCCUAACACAUGCAAGUCGAACGGAACUGUUUUGAAAGAUUUCUUCGGAAUGAAUUUGAUUUAGUUUAGUGGCGGACGGGUGAGUAACGCGUGAGUAACCUGCCUUCAAGAGGGGAAUAACAUUCUGAAAAGAAUGCUAAUACCGCAUGACAUAUCGGAACCACAUGGUUUUGAUAUCAAAGAUUUUAUCGCUUGAAGAUGGACUCGCGUCCGAUUAGUUAGUUGGUGAGGUAACGGCUCACCAAGACCGCGAUCGGUAGCCGGACUGAGAGGUUGAACGGCCACAUUGGGACUGAGACACGGCCCAGACUCCUACGGGAGGCAGCAGUGGGGGAUUUUGCGCAAUGGGGGCAACCCUGACGCAGCAACGCCGCGUGAAGGAUGAAGGUUUUCGGAUUGUAAACUUCUUUUAUUAAGGACGAAAAAUGACGGUACUUAAUGAAUAAGCUCCGGCUAACUACGUG